Molecule: non-coding RNA, 5730 nt
Organism: Danio rerio (zebrafish)
Lineage: Eukaryota; Metazoa; Chordata; Actinopteri; Cypriniformes; Danionidae
Source: RefSeq, a predicted model, not a curated record
UCGAAGAAACAUUCUCAGUCAAACAGGAAGAUCUGCAGGAACAAACAGACCUGAUGGUGCUGAAAGAAGAGACUCUUCAUCAGAAUGAAAAGGAAGAGAAACAGCAGUUUGAGAAACACCAAGUAAUAAUGACUGAUGAAAAACCCACACUGUCUAAAAAGACUUCAUCACGUGGAAGACCUCGGAAAUCCAAGUCUAUGUGUAAUUACAGCUGUACACGGUGUAGAAAGAGUUUCAGUAAAAAGUCAAACCUUGAUAUUCACAUGAGAGUUCACACUAAAGAGAAACCUUACACCUGCAAACAGUGUGGAAAGAGGUUUGGUUAUAUACAAGGCUUUGAAAACCACAUGAGCAUUCACACUGGAGAGAGGCCGUACACAUGCCAACAGUGUGGAAAAAGCUUCUAUCAUGCAGGAAACUUUGCAGCGCACCAGAGAAUUCACACUGGGCAGAGGAAGUAUACAUGCCAACAUUGUGGAAAAAGCUUCUCUAAAACAGGAAACUUGGCAGUGCACAUGAGAAUUCACACUGGGGAGAAGCCUUACUCUUGCUCUCAGUGUGGAAAGAGUUUUAAGCAAAAUGUCACCCUUAAAAUCCACAUGAGAACACACAAUGAAGAAAGAAUUUUUACCUGCACACAGUGUUGGAAAAGUAUUUCUCAAAAGCACUACCUUGACAUCCACAUGAGGAUCCACACUGGAGAGAAACCUUACACAUGCACAGAGUGUGGUAAAAGUUUCCCAUAUAAAGGCUCACUCAAACACCACAUGAUAAGUCACAGCGGAGAGAAGCCGUUUGCAUGUGCUCAGUGUGGAAAGAGUUUCACAACCAAAAGCAAACUAAAGAUCCACAUGAGGAUCCACAAUAGGGAGAAACUAUUCACAUGCACUCAGUGUGGGAAGAAUUUCGACCAAUCAUCAAACCUUAAUCAACACAUGAGGAUCCACACUGGAGAGAAACCAUUCACAUGCACCCAGUGUGGGAAGAGUUUCAGCAACUCAGCAAACCUUAAUCAACACAUGAGGAUUCACACUGGAGAGAAACCAUUCACAUGUACUCAGUGUGGGAAGAGUUUCAGCCAAUCAUCAUACCUUAAUAUACACAUGAGGAUCCACACUGGAGAGAAACCAUUCACAUGCCCUCAGUGUGGGAAGAGUUUCAGCCAAUCACCAUACCUUAAUCAGCACAUGAGGAUCCACACUGGAGAGAAACCAUUCACAUGCAGUCAGUGUGGGAAGAGUUUCAGCCAAUCAUCAUCCCUUAAUCUACACAUGAGGAUACACACUGGAGAGAAACCAUUCACAUGUACUCAGUGUGGGAAGAGUUUCAGCCAAUCAUCAAACCUUAAUAUACACAUGAGGAACCACACUGGAGAGAAACCAUUCACAUGCCUUCAGUGUGGGAAGAGUUUUAGCCAGUUCAGCAUUCUUAAGAUUCACAUGAUGAUCCACACUGGAGAGAAACCAUUCACAUGCACUUGGUGUGGGAAGGGUUUCAGCCAAUCAUCAAACCAUAAUCGACAUAUGAUGAGCCACACUGGAAAGAAACCAUUCACAUGCACUCAGUGUGGGAAGAGUUUCUGCCAAUCAUCACACCUUAAUGUACACAUGAGGAUCCACACCGGAGAGAAACCAUUCACAUGCACUCAGUGUGGGAAGAGUUUCAGACAAACAUCAUCCCUUAAUCUACACAUGAGGAUUCACACUGGAGAGAAACCAUUCACAUGCACUCUGUGUAGGAAGAGUUUCAGCAUAUCAUCAUCCCUUAAUCUACAUGUGAGGGUCCACACUGGAGAGAAACCAUUCACAUGCACUCAGUGUGGAAAGAGUUUCAGACAAACAUCAUCCCUUAAUCAACACAUGAGGAUCCACACUGGAGAGAAACCAUUCACAUGCACUCUGUGUGGGAAGAGUUUCAGCAGCCCAUCAGACCUUUCUAAACACAUGAGGACCCACACUGGAGAGAAACCAUUCACAUGCAAUCAGUGUAGGAAGAGUUUCAGCAACUCAUCAGACCUUUAUAGACACAUAAAGACCCACAGUGGAGAGAAACCAUUCACAUGCACUCAGUGUGGAAAGAGUUUCAGACAAACAUCAUCCCUUAAUCUUCACAUGAGGAUUCACACUGGAGAGAAACCAUUUACAUGCACUCAGUGUGGGAAGAGUUUCAGCCGCUCUUCACACUUUAACUACCACAUGAAGACCCACACUGGAGAGAAACCAUUCACAUGCACUCAGUGUGGGAAGAGUUUCAGCCAAUCAUCAAACCUUAAUAAACACAUGAAGACCCACACUGGAGAGAAACCAUUCACAUGCACUCAGUGUGGAAAGAGUUUCAGCCAAUCAUCAAACCUUAAUAAACACAUGAGGAUCCACACUGGAGAGAAACCAUUUACUUGCACUCAGUGUAGGAAGACUUUUAACUGCUCAUCACACCUAAAUCAACACAUGAGGAUCCACACUAAAGAGAAACCAUUCACCUGCACUCAGUGUGGAAAGAGUUUUGGAAGAAAAGGCUAUCUUAAGAUUCACAUGAUGAUCCACACUGGAGAGAAACCAUUCACAUGCACUCAGUGUGGGAAGAGUUUUAACUGCUCAUCAAACUUUAAUCUACACAUGAGGAUCCACACUGGAGAGAAACCAUUUACAUGCACUCAGUGUGGGAAGGGUUUCAGCCAAUCAUCAUCACUUAAUCACCACAUGAGGAUCCACACCGGAGAGAAACCAUUCACAUGCACUCAGUGUGGGAAGAGUUUCAGCCGAUCAUCAUCCCUUAAUAUACACACGAGGAUCCACACUGGAGAGAAACCAUUCACAUGCACUCAAUGUGGGAAGAGUUUCAGCCAAUCAUCACAUCUUGAGAAUCACAUGAGGAUCCACACUGGAGAGAAACCAUUCACAUGCACUCAGUGUGGGAAGAGUUUCAACCGAUCAGAACACCUUAAUGACCACAUGAGGAUCCACACCGGAGAGAAACCAUUCACAUGCAUUCAGUGUGGGAAGAGUUUUAACUGCUUAUCAAACCUUAAUAAACACACGAGGAUCCACACUGGAAAGAAACCAUUUACAUGCACUCAGUGUGGGAAUAGUUUCAGCUGCUCAUCAAGCCUUAAUCAACACAUGAUGAUCCACACUGGAGAGAAACCAUUCACUUGCACUCAGUGUGGGAAGAGUUUUAUCCGCUCAUCAUCCCUUAAACUACACAUGAGGAUCCACACUGGAGAGAAACCAUUCACAUGCACUCAGUGUGGCAAGAGUUUCAUCAAAUCAUCAUCCCUUAAACUACACAUGAGGAUCCACACUGGAGAUAAACCAUUUACAUGUACUCAGUGUGGGAAGAGUUUUAGUCAAUCAUCAUCCCUUAAUCACCACAUGAGGAUUCACACUGGAGAGAAACCAUUCACGUGCACUCAAUGUGGAAAGAAUUUCAUCAAAUCAUCAUCCCUUAAUCACCACAUCGGUAUUCACACUGGAGAUAGACCCUUCACAUGCACUCAGUGUGGGAAGAGUUUCAGCUGCUCAUCACACCUUAAUCACCACAUAAGAAUUCACACGGGAGAGAAACCAUUCACAUGCACUCAGUGUGGGAAGAGUUUCAGCUGCUCAUCACACCUUAAUCACCACAUAAGGAUCCACACUGGAGAGAAACCAUUCACAUGCCCUCAGUGUGAAAAGAGUUUUAGCAAAUCAUCAUCUCUUAAUCAGCACAUGAGGAUCCACACUGGAGAGAAACCAUUCUCAUGCACUCAGUGUGAAAAGAGUUUUAACUGCUCAUCAAACCUUAGUAAACACAUGAGGAUCCACACUGGAGAAAAACCAUUCGUAUGCACUCAGUGUGGGAAGAGUUUUAUCAGCUCAACACACCUUAAUCUACACAUGAGGAUCCACACUGGAAAGAAACCAUUCACUUGCACGCAGUGUGGAAAGAGUUUGGCAAGCAAAAGCAAACUUAAGAGUCACAUGAGGAUCCACACUGGAGAGAAACCAUUCACAUGCACUCAGUGUGGGAAGAGUUUCAGCCGAUCAUCAUCCCUUAAUAUACACAUGAUGAUCCACACUGGAGAGAAACCAUUCACAUGCACUCAGUGUGGGAAGAGUUUCAACAAAUCAUUAUCCCUUAAUUUACACAAGAUGAGCCACACAGGAGAGAAACCAUUCACAUGCAAUCAGUGUGGGAAGAGUUUCAGCCAAUCAUCAUCCCUUAAUAUACACAUGAUGAUCCACACUGGAGAGAAACCAUUCACAUGCAAUCAGUGUGGGAAGAGUUUCAGUCAAUCGUCAGACCUUAAUAUACACAUGAUGAUCCACACUGGAGAGAAACCAUUCACAUGCAAUCAGUGUGGGAAGAGUUUCAGUCAAUCGUCAGACCUUAAUGUACACAUGAAGAUCCACACUGACAAGAAUCGUUUUAUCUGCACUCAGUGUGGAAAGAGUUUUAAGAAAAAAAGCAAUCUUAAGAUUCACAUGAUGAUUCACACUGGAGAGAAACCUUUCACAUGCACUCAGUGUGGAAAGAGUUUUAGCCUAUCAUCACACCUUACUCAACACAUGAGGAUCCACACUGGAGAGAAACCAUUCACAUGCACUCAGUGUGGGAAGAGUUUCAGCCAAUCAUCAUCCCUUAAUCACCACAUGAUGAUCCACACUGGAGAGAAACCAUUCACAUGCACUCAGUGUGGGAGAAGUUUCAGCUGCUCAUCAUCCCUUAAUAAACACAUGAGGAUCCACACUGGAGAGAAACCAUUCACAUGCAUUCAGUGUGGGAAGAGUUUCAGGCAGUCAUCAUACCUUAAUAAACACACGAGGAUCCACAGUGGAGAGAAACCUUUCACAUGCACUCAGUGUGGGAAGAGUUUCAGCCAAUCAUCACACCUUAAUAAACACAUGAGGAUCCACAGUGGAGAGAAACCAUUCACAUGCUCUCAGUGUGGGAAGAGUUUCAGCCAAUCAUCAUCCCGUAAUGUACACUUGAGGAUGCACACUGGAGAGAAACCUAACAACAGAAUUUUGCAUGCUCAAACUCUAGUGUGACUGCAGCUUCGGUGUGGGAUGAGUAUCAGCAACUCCUCAAACCUUAAUGAACACAUGAAGAUCCACACUGGUGUGAAAGAGUAUAUGUGCUUGAGUGUGAGAAGACUUUUCUUACAGCUCCAAAAUUGAAAUUGCACCAGAUGAUUCACAUUGGAGAGAUUGUACAAGUGUUCACAAUGUGACAAGAGGUUUCAUCAGUUAACACCUCUGAAAACACAAAAGUGGAUGCACACUUGAGAGAAACUGUACAGAUCUCAUCAGUGUCUACAGAGUUUUGCUCAUUUCUGAAUUAUGUUUGAAAAGGCUGAGUGACGUAUACUGUUUUCCAACACUCCUACACUGCAGUAGGUGGGGUUGUGAGGGUGUUGCGCUCCUCUCAUUUACCGUAAACACAAUAUUGGCGGCUGAAAUAAGAACAGUUUCAUAAACAUCUGGCCAACAGCACCUCUGCAGCUUAAGAUCUCAUUGCAAGUGCGGAUACAUCUGUACUCUACUCUCCAGUGUAUUCAUGUAGCUAGUGUUGUUUUGGAUGAUCUCUGUUUUACUCCCUGAAUAAGAAACAUCACUGGGAGGACACCGCACAUCAAUGAAGAUGGAGCUCCAGGAGAGUUAGUUUGAUGCAUACCAGGGCCUCAAGUUUAGAAAGCCAAUUCAAUUGUCCUGUGUUGCAGCUUUUAUUAAUAAAGUUUCUUUAUUUUUA